This 253-nucleotide ribosomal RNA is filed under the name uncultured bacterium. RNAcentral's name for it is "partial 16S ribosomal RNA". It matches the Rfam family "Bacterial small subunit ribosomal RNA", at positions 524 to 776 of the family's 1533-position model. The record is from RNAcentral.
UACGUAGGGUGCAAGCGUUGUCCGGAAUUAUUGGGCGUAAAGAGCGUGUAGGCGGCCCGAUUAGUCCGCUGUGAAAGUCCAGGGCUCAACCCUGGAAUGCCGGUGGAUACUGUCGGGCUAGAGUCCGGAAGGGGCGAGUGGAAUUCCUGGUGUAGCGGUGAAAUGCGCAGAUAUCAGGAAGAACACCCGUGGCGAAGGCGGCAUCCUGGACCAAUAUUGACGCUGAGGAGCGAAAACCAGGGGAGCAAACGGG